UCUACCUCUAAACCCAGUCCUUUGUGUUCCUUUACAUAAUCUACCUCUAAACCCAGUCCUUUGUGUUCCUUUACAUAAUCUACCUCUAAACCCAGUCCUUUGUGUUCCUUUACAUAAUCUACCUCUAAACCCAGUCCUUUGUGUUCCUUUACAUAAUCUACCUCUAAACCCAGUCCUUUGUGUUCCUUUACAUAGUCUACCUCUAAACCCAGUCCUUUGUGUUCCUUUACAUCAUUUACCUCUAAACCCAGUCCUUUGUGUUCCUUUACAUCAUUUACCUCUAAACCCAGUCCUUUGUGUUCCUUUACAUCAUUUACCUCUAAACCCAGUCCUUUGUGUUCCUUUACAUCAUUUACCUCUAAACCCAGUCCUUUGUGUUCCUUUACAUCAUUUACCUCUAAACCCAGUCCUUUGUGUUCCUUUACAUAAUCUACCUCUAAACCCAGUCCUUUUUUUCUCCAGGUCUUUAAAGGUGAAUUUCAGCUACCUGAGUUUCUAAGAGAACAAUCUCAGGUACAGUAACUAUUCUGCCUGUAGUUAUGUUCUGCAGUUAUCUAUAAUAGAGGCAAAAUGGUGGCCACUGUUCAUUGGAAAUCUGGUUACAAUUUUCCAUCUGCUUUUAGUUAUGAAUUUCUCUCUUGUCUCGUUUGUUGUUGUUGUUAUUGGUCACGAUGACAUGCUGUCUAUGACUAGGUUUUUCUGUCUGCUGUACUGUAGUCUGACUGUUGUUCUCCGGUCUCAUUUCUCACCUUGUGUUUGUGUUUUUGGAACGCUUCCUCUCACAUUAGAGGUUCGUGAGCUAACCACAUUGUCUGUCUCCUGUUGGUCCUUUUUUGAUUUGUCACUGAACUGAUGUGUUGUUUUUCGGGAAGAGUACUACUGCCACCGUGUGACAGCAAGCACACAUGACAUGCCGCCAGCAACACAGCGUGUGAACACUGAUUCUGUGAAGUGUUUUUUUUGUUGUUGUUGUUGCGCAGAGCCAUGAUGAAUUUCACUUCUUUCAAACAGUUCAUACUUUUUGACACAAACGUUGAUUUACAACACACAGUCCCAUAAUGCACCAUCCCUCCUACUCCAGUCCCAGACCAGAGAAUUCCCAUAAUGCCCAUCUUCUCUCUCUAGCUUCAGAAGACUCCAGAGAAACCUAAACCCCAGUUAGGAGAAGCAGAUGAACCAUCCUUCUCUUCCAGUCCCAGACCAGAGAAUUCCCAUAAUGCACCAUCCUUCUCUUCCAGUCCCAGACCAGAGAAUUCCCAUAAUGCACCAUCCUUCUCUUCCAGUCCCAGACCAGAGAAUUCCCAUAAUGCCCGCAAGUCUAACAAAAGUCUAUCUUCUUCUUCUCUCCAGCUUCAGAAGACUCCAGAGAAACCUAACCCGCCACAGAGCCAGACAAGACACCGAUGGACAGAGGAAGUUAUCAAAUAAACUCUGCAUCAUCUUUUGGGGACCUCUGUGCUCUUCCAUGGACACACACACACACACACACACACACACACACACACACACACACACACACACACACACACACACACACACACACACACACACACACACACACACACACACACACACACACACACACACACACACACAUACACACACGUUAGCCUGUGUCAGUGGGGACCGGACCACCAUGGCUUGGAGAACUCUUUUGGCCUUCGAUGUUGUACUGUAAACUAAUGAUGUGUUUGUCACAAAAUGGUGACCAGAGAAUGUUGCUGUUAUGUUUCUUUCUUGUCUAGGGCUGCAAAAUUCUGGAACAUUUCAAAAGAUUCCUAGAUUUCUCCAGAAAUCUAUAAUUCUACAACUAGGAUUUCUGGGAAACCUUUUGAAAUUUGAGAAAAAGUUUUGCAACACUAUUGUCACACCAUGCUCAUCUGGAUUUGUAGUUUUUAUGGUUUUCUCCCAGCUAUAUAAAAAUCUGUGAUUCUGUUGUAAGAAACUACAGUGGACUUAAAAUGUAAAUCUAAAAAAAAAAAAAUACAGUAUUUAUAGAUGAAAUGUAGCUUUUUGAAGAUGCUAUAUAUCUAUUUUAAUGUUUCAUUUUGUUUUUCAUGCCUUUUUAUCGUGCAAUUCCAUGGGGUACUGUGAUGUACAAGAUUCUAGUUAAGUAUUGACAGUGAUAAAGAUGGCAUUUUGUAACGUG
Long non-coding RNA from Salvelinus namaycush (lake trout), 2149 nucleotides. RefSeq lists it as uncharacterized. The record is from RefSeq and is a predicted model, not a curated record. NCBI's taxonomy places the organism in Eukaryota, Metazoa, Chordata, Actinopteri, Salmoniformes, Salmonidae. The transcript is spliced from 2 exons.